This 29-nucleotide non-coding RNA is filed under the name Homo sapiens (human). Lineage: Eukaryota; Metazoa; Chordata; Mammalia; Primates; Hominidae. The record is from RNAcentral.
UGGGGUUUGUGAGCCUGCAAUAUGGCUAU